RNAcentral lists this ribosomal RNA (479 nucleotides) under uncultured bacterium. Its description in RNAcentral is "partial 16S ribosomal RNA". It matches the Rfam family "Bacterial small subunit ribosomal RNA", at positions 899 to 1397 of the family's 1533-position model. The record is from RNAcentral.
ACUCAAAUGAAUUGACGGGUCCCCGCACAAGCAGCGGAGCGUGUGGUUUAAUUCGAUGCAACGCGAAGAACCUUACCUGGGUUUGACAUGUAUUCGCAAGCCUCCGAAAAGAGGCCCUCUUCGGACGGAUACACAGAUGUUGCAUGGCUGUCGUCAGCUCGUGUCGUGAGAUGUUGGGUUAAGUCCCUCAACGAGCGCAACCCUUAUUUCUAGUUGCAAAUCUAGAGAGACUGCCGGAAACAAACCGGAGGAAGGCGGGGAUGACGUCAAGUCAGCAUGACUCUUACAUCCAGGGCUACACACACGCUACAAUGGAGGGUACAGCGAGAAGCCAACCCGCGAGGGUGAGCAGACCUCUAAAAGCCUUCCCCAGUUCAGAUUGCACUCUGAAACCCGAGUGCAUGAAGUCGGAGUUGCUAGUAACCGCGUGUCAGCAUAGCGCGGUGAAUAUGUUCCCGGGGAUUGUACACACCGCCCGU